RNAcentral lists this ribosomal RNA (454 nucleotides) under uncultured bacterium. RNAcentral's name for it is "bacterial SSU rRNA". It matches the Rfam family "Bacterial small subunit ribosomal RNA", at positions 340 to 784 of the family's 1533-position model. The record is from RNAcentral.
UACGGGAGGCAGCAGUGGGGAAUAUUGCACAAUGGGCGCAAGCCUGAUGCAGCCAUGCCGCGUGUAUGAAGAAGGCCUUCGGGUUGUAAAGUACUUUCAGUCGUGAGGAAGGUGUUAAGGUUAAUAACCUUAGCAAUUGACGUUAGCGACAGAAGAAGCACCGGCUAACUCCGUGCCAGCAGCCGCGGUAAUACGGAGGGUGCGAGCGUUAAUCGGAAUUACUGGGCGUAAAGGGCACGCAGGCGGUUAAUUAAGUUGGAUGUGAAAUCCCCGGGCUUAACCUGGGAAUGGCAUUCAAGACUGGUUAGCUAGAGUCUUGUAGAGGGGGUUAGAAUUCCAUGUGUAGCGGUGAAAUGCGUAGAGAUGUGGAGGAAUACCGGUGGCGAAGGCGGCCCCUGGACAAAGGACUGACGCUCAUGUGCGAAAGCGUGGGGAGCAAACGAGGGAUUAGAUA